Molecule: long non-coding RNA, 387 nt
Organism: Sciurus carolinensis (gray squirrel)
Lineage: Eukaryota; Metazoa; Chordata; Mammalia; Rodentia; Sciuridae
Exons: 3
Source: RefSeq, a predicted model, not a curated record
CUGAGGCCUGGGUUAAGGACAGUAUAGAGAUUGGGAGGGGAAUUUCAGUUUAAGAAAGAAUCACUUUAAGGAGAAAGGCUUGGGAAAACACAGUGCCUUGCAAGUAAUGAAUUGAGAAUGGAGAGAAGGAGAGUAUUCCACGUGGAGGAAAGAGGAUUAAAAAGUGUUACACAUAUAAAUAUCUUUGUAUGAAUUGUGCAAGUAUAUCCAAAGAGCAAAUUCUUCUCCAUGGAAUUGCAGUCCGUUUGAGCUUUGUCACCACUGGAAGGCCUUUCUUGCUCAUUGCAGGUGAUCCACCGUUCCUGGUCUCAGUCCACACUGUCUACCAGCAGUUCCUCCCUCCUGCCUUCAUAACAAUUAAUUUGGAAAUCUUCUUGGUGUUAUCUA